Molecule: ribosomal RNA, 1373 nt
Filed under: Chryseobacterium sp. T84L.09.P.BNT.GC.H.Gill.M
Lineage: Bacteria; Pseudomonadati; Bacteroidota; Flavobacteriia; Flavobacteriales; Weeksellaceae
Description: bacterial SSU rRNA
Rfam family: Bacterial small subunit ribosomal RNA
Source: RNAcentral
GCAGCCGAGCGGUAGAGAUUCUUCGGAAUCUUGAGAGCGGCGUACGGGUGCGGAACACGUGUGCAACCUACCUUUAUCAGGGGGAUAGCCUUUCGAAAGGAAGAUUAAUACCCCAUAAUAUAUUGAAUGGCAUCAUUUAAUAUUGAAAACUCCGGUGGAUAGAGAUGGGCACGCGCAAGAUUAGAUAGUUGGUAGGGUAACGGCCUACCAAGUCAAUGAUCUUUAGGGGGCCUGAGAGGGUGAUCCCCCACACUGGUACUGAGACACGGACCAGACUCCUACGGGAGGCAGCAGUGAGGAAUAUUGGACAAUGGGUGAGAGCCUGAUCCAGCCAUCCCGCGUGAAGGACGACGGCCCUAUGGGUUGUAAACUUCUUUUGUAUAGGGAUAAACCUACUCUCGUGAGAGUAGCUGAAGGUACUAUACGAAUAAGCACCGGCUAACUCCGUGCCAGCAGCCGCGGUAAUACGGAGGGUGCAAGCGUUAUCCGGAUUUAUUGGGUUUAAAGGGUCCGUAGGCGGAUCUGUAAGUCAGUGGUGAAAUCUCAUAGCUUAACUAUGAAACUGCCAUUGAUACUGCAGGUCUUGAGUAAAGUAGAAGUGGCUGGAAUAAGUAGUGUAGCGGUGAAAUGCAUAGAUAUUACUUAGAACACCAAUUGCGAAGGCAGGUCACUAUGUUUUAACUGACGCUGAUGGACGAAAGCGUGGGGAGCGAACAGGAUUAGAUACCCUGGUAGUCCACGCCGUAAACGAUGCUAACUCGUUUUUGGGUCUUCGGAUUCAGAGACUAAGCGAAAGUGAUAAGUUAGCCACCUGGGGAGUACGUUCGCAAGAAUGAAACUCAAAGGAAUUGACGGGGGCCCGCACAAGCGGUGGAUUAUGUGGUUUAAUUCGAUGAUACGCGAGGAACCUUACCAAGGCUUAAAUGGGAAUUGACAGGUUUAGAAAUAGACUUUUCUUCGGACAAUUUUCAAGGUGCUGCAUGGUUGUCGUCAGCUCGUGCCGUGAGGUGUUAGGUUAAGUCCUGCAACGAGCGCAACCCCUGUCACUAGUUGCCAUCAUUCAGUUGGGGACUCUAGUGAGACUGCCUACGCAAGUAGAGAGGAAGGUGGGGAUGACGUCAAAUCAUCACGGCCCUUACGCCUUGGGCCACACACGUAAUACAAUGGCCAGUACAGAGGGCAGCUACCAGGCGACUGGAUGCGAAUCUCGAAAGCUGGUCUCAGUUCGGAUUGGAGUCUGCAACUCGACUCUAUGAAGCUGGAAUCGCUAGUAAUCGCAUAUCAGCCAUGAUGCGGUGAAUACGUUCCCGGGCCUUGUACACACCGCCCGUCAAGCCAUGGAAGUUUGGGGUACCGAAGUCGGGACCGAACAG